CUACGUGCCAGCAGCCGCGGUCAUACGUAGGGUGCAAGCAUUAUCCGGAGUGACUGGGCGUAAAGAGUUGCGUAGGCGGUUUAAUAAGUGAAUAGUGAAACCUGGUGGCUCAACCAUACAGACUAUUAUUCAAACUGUUAAACUCGAGAAUGGUAGAGGUAACUGGAAUUUCUAGUGUAGGAGUGAAAUCCGUAGAUAUUAGAAGGAACACCGAUGGCGUAGGCAGGUUACUGGGCCAUUUCUGACGCUAAGGCACGAAAGCGUGGGGAGCGAACCGGAUUAGAUACCCGGGUAGUCCACGCCGUAAACGAUGGAUACUAGCUGUUGGAGGUAUCGACCCCUUCAGUAGCGAAGCUAACGCGUUAAGUAUCCCGCCUGUGGAGUACGGCCGCAAGGCUAAAACAUAAAGGAAUUGACGGGGGCCCGCACAAGCGGUGGAGUAUGU
RNAcentral lists this ribosomal RNA (445 nucleotides) under uncultured bacterium. RNAcentral describes it as "bacterial SSU rRNA". It matches the Rfam family "Bacterial small subunit ribosomal RNA", at positions 501 to 942 of the family's 1533-position model. The record is from RNAcentral.